Molecule: ribosomal RNA, 603 nt
Filed under: Triticum aestivum (bread wheat)
Lineage: Eukaryota; Viridiplantae; Streptophyta; Magnoliopsida; Poales; Poaceae
Description: partial small subunit ribosomal RNA
Source: RNAcentral
AUGGAGCGCCAACUGGCCUCUAUUAGGGCUUCCCCGCCUUCCCCCGCAUCUCUUUCUGAAGAAAAGCACAUUGAGAGUCAGCUUUGUGAAUUGUUUGAGCGUGAGGAAAUCAUGGAAUGUCAACGUUCACGGGUGGAUUGGCUAAAAGCAGGUGACCAUAACACUGAGUUCUUCCAAGCUAGGGCGUCGGCUAGACGGAGAAGAAACAGAAUCCACUCGCUUCUCCGGGAGGAUGGUUCAACUUGUAAUUCUCAAGGGCAGAUCAAGGGCUUAGUGCAGUCCUACUAUGAAAAGCUUUUCACGUCGGAACCUCGCCCGGCUGCUGAUGAGGUCUUAGAAGCUAUUCCUCACAAGGUGACUGCUGAGAUGAAUGCUGAUCUUUGUAAGCCUUAUUCGGAUGAGGAGAUCAAGGCGGCGUUGUUUCAGAUGGGACUAACUAAGGCCCCCGGUCCUGACGGGUUCCCUGCUCUGUUUUACCAGCACCAUUGGAAUUUCUUGGGGGAGGACAUAUGUCAGGCUAGCUAUUCGAGGUUUCUUGCAGGGGAGACCGAUUCCAGAGGGUUUUUGCGAUUCAGUUAUAGUUCUUAUACCAAAGACGGUUAG